AGAUGGCGACCGGCGCACGGGUGAGUAACACGUAUCCAACCUGCCGAUAACUCGGGGAUAGCCUUUCGAAAGAAAGAUUAAUACCCGAUGGCAUAGUUCUUCCGCAUGGUAGAACUAUUAAAGAAUUUCGGUCAUCGAUGGGGAUGCGUUCCAUUAGGUUGUCGGCGGGGUAACGGCCCACCAAGCCUUCGAUGGAUAGGGGUUCUGAGAGGAAGGUCCCCCACAUUGGAACUGAGACACGGUCCAA
RNAcentral lists this ribosomal RNA (247 nucleotides) under uncultured bacterium. RNAcentral describes it as "partial 16S ribosomal RNA". It matches the Rfam family "Bacterial small subunit ribosomal RNA", at positions 86 to 334 of the family's 1533-position model. The record is from RNAcentral.